This 73-nucleotide transfer RNA is filed under the name Paramuricea clavata. It matches the Rfam family "tRNA". From Rfam's summary of the family: Transfer RNA (tRNA) molecules are approximately 80 nucleotides in length. Lineage: Eukaryota; Metazoa; Cnidaria; Anthozoa; Malacalcyonacea; Plexauridae. The record is from Rfam by way of RNAcentral.
GACUGCGUAGCUCAGUUGCAAGAGCAUUGGGCUAGUAUUCCAAAGGUCGUAGGUUCGAAUCCCACCGUGGCCG